CACGCCGUAAACGAUGAGUGCUAGGUGUUGGGGGUCAAACCUCGGUGCCGCAGUUAACACAUUAAGCACUCCGCCUGGGGAGUACGUGCGCAAGCAUGAAACUCAAAGGAAUUGACGGGGACCCGCACAAGCAGCGGAGCAUGUGGUUUAAUUCGAAGCAACGCGAAGAACCUUACCAGGACUUGACAUACUAGUGCCAGUCGUAGAGAUACGAUAUUUUCUUCGGAAACACUAAUACAGGUGG
Molecule: ribosomal RNA, 244 nt
Filed under: uncultured Peptoniphilus sp.
Lineage: Bacteria; Bacillati; Bacillota; Tissierellia; Tissierellales; Peptoniphilaceae
Description: partial 16S ribosomal RNA
Rfam family: Bacterial small subunit ribosomal RNA
Source: RNAcentral